Brassica napus (rape) is the source of this 704-nucleotide long non-coding RNA. RefSeq lists it as uncharacterized. The record is from RefSeq and is a predicted model, not a curated record. The transcript is spliced from 2 exons. NCBI's taxonomy places the organism in Eukaryota, Viridiplantae, Streptophyta, Magnoliopsida, Brassicales, Brassicaceae.
AAAAGUGCGUUUGAAGCUGUAAGUUCACCUUUCUCCUGUUUAGUCUUUGCAUGUUUAAGAAAUUCAAAACUGGCUUAAAGUUGAUUGUUGUUUGAGUCUCUGUAGUUACUAUGAAUUUUUGCUGCUGAGAUUAUUGCAUAGAGCCAUUUUCAUGUCUAGAUUGCUUUAAGCCUUCAACAAACUAAUCCAUUAAGACUCUGUGGCUACUCGCAAACAGAUUGAGAAUUCACUUGCAUUAUCUCCCAAACACAAAAGAACAGCAACACUCUCUAUACAGAGAUCAUGCGAGUAGAUCUCAGAGUUUGUUACUCAGAUUUCUAUCACUACUGCUGGAACUGGUAUCACUAAGCGGUUCACUGUGAUAUGUAGCCUUACUUCAAGUCGUGUACCUUUUUGCACAAACAAGUUCUUCAACACUGGACUUGGUUUCAGUUUGGUAAUAGUGUCUUGGGCUGUGGAUGGACUCAAGGAGAUGAUUACUUAAAGCAUGCCUUUUCAAUGGGUUAUGGCUUUUAAGUUAGCAAUGAGAACCAGAGUUAUAUCUGUGGAAGCAAAAGUUACGACCAGUAUUUUAUUUUUGAAUGGGAAACGUCUUAUUAUCCUUUGUAAAUUAUAUGUUUCUCCAAUGACCUGAAGAAUAUAUAAAUUGGUUUAUGUUUGUGAGAAUCAAGAACAAACAAAUACUUGAAUAUAAAACAUGUUUA